Mycena metata is the source of this 83-nucleotide non-coding RNA. Lineage: Eukaryota; Fungi; Basidiomycota; Agaricomycetes; Agaricales; Mycenaceae. The record is from the annotation of a GenBank genome assembly.
UCGGACGUGGUGCAUGGGCACGUCGCACGUCCUUCCUUGAAGUCACGAAGGGGAGCGCCCGGGUUCGAAUCUCGGCGUCUGAA